RNAcentral lists this microRNA precursor (101 nucleotides) under Otolemur garnettii (small-eared galago). RNAcentral describes it as "miRNA (ENSOGAG00000034167.1)". The record is from RNAcentral. Lineage: Eukaryota; Metazoa; Chordata; Mammalia; Primates; Galagidae.
UGAGGCAAGAGGACUGCUUGAGUCCAGGAGUUUGAGGCUACAGUGAGCUAUGAUGAUGCCACUGCACUCCAGCCUGGGUGACAGAGCAAGACCCUAUUCUU